This 234-nucleotide ribosomal RNA is filed under the name uncultured bacterium. Its description in RNAcentral is "partial 16S ribosomal RNA". It matches the Rfam family "Bacterial small subunit ribosomal RNA", at positions 104 to 334 of the family's 1533-position model. The record is from RNAcentral.
CGGGACGGGGUGGAGUAAUGUCUGGGAAACUGCCUGAUGGAGGGGGGUAACUACUGGAAACGGUAGCUAAUACCGCAUAACGUCGCAAGACCAAAGAGGGGGACCUUCGGGCCUCUUGCCAUCGGAUGUGCCCAGAUGGGAUUAGCUAGUAGGUGGGGUAACGGCUCACCUAGGCGACGAUCCCUAGCUGGUCUGAGAGGAUGACCAGCCACACUGGAACUGAGCACGGUCCAG